This 497-nucleotide ribosomal RNA is filed under the name uncultured bacterium. RNAcentral's name for it is "partial 16S ribosomal RNA". It matches the Rfam family "Bacterial small subunit ribosomal RNA", at positions 28 to 507 of the family's 1533-position model. The record is from RNAcentral.
GAUGAACGCUGGCGGCGUGCCUAAUACAUGCAAGUCGAGCGAACGGACGAGAAGCUUGCUUCUCUGAUGUUAGCGGCGGACGUGUGAGUAACACGUGGAUAACCUACCUAUAAGACUGGGAUAACUUCGGGAAACCGGAGCUAAUACCGGAUAAUAUUUUGAACCGCAUGGUUCAAAAGUGAAAGACGGUCUUGCUGUCACUUAUAGAUGGAUCCGCGCUGCAUUAGCUAGUUGGUAAGGUAACGGCUUACCAAGGCAACGAUGCAUAGCCGACCUGAGAGGGUGAUCGGCCACACUGGAACUGAGACACGGUCCAGACUCCUACGGGAGGCAGCAGUAGGGAAUCUUCCGCAAUGGGCGAAAGCCUGACGGAGCAACGCCGCGUGAGUGAUGAAGGUCUUCGGACCGUAAAACUCUGUUAUUAGGGAAGAACAUAUGUGUAAGUAACUGUGCACAUCUUGACGGUACCUAAUCAGAAAGCCACGGCUAACUACGUG